UGGGGAAUCUUGCGCAAUGGGCGAAAGCCUGACGCAGCAACGCCGCGUGAGGGAAGACGGUCUUAGGAUUGUAAACCUCUUUCAGUAGGGACGAAGCUUCCAGGGUUAAUAGCCCUGUGGAGUGACGGUACCUACAGAAGAAGCCCCGGCUAACUACGUGCCAGCAGCCGCGGUAAUACGUAGGGGGCAAGCGUUGUCCGGAAUCAUUGGGCGUAAAGCGCGUGUAGGCGGCUCGUAAAGUCUGGUGUGAAAUCUUGGGGCUCAACCCUAAGCUGUCACUGGAUACUGACGAGCUUGAAUCCGGAAGAGGAGUGUGGAAUUCCUGGUGUAGCGGUGGAAUGCGCAGAUAUCAGGAGGAACACCUAUGGCGAAGGCAGCACUCUGGUACGUGAUUGACGCU
This 400-nucleotide ribosomal RNA is filed under the name uncultured bacterium. RNAcentral's name for it is "bacterial SSU rRNA". It matches the Rfam family "Bacterial small subunit ribosomal RNA", at positions 355 to 747 of the family's 1533-position model. The record is from RNAcentral.